AUGCUAUAUAGGAAUUGAAUAAAGUCCCUUUUAACAUCUAAAUCCAUCUGUUUCACUUUGUCAGCAGUCUUGAACUUGGUUUCUUGCUGAUCAUUUCAUGAUGGGAAAUCU
Small nucleolar RNA from Arabis alpina (gray rockcress), 111 nucleotides. It matches the Rfam family "Small nucleolar RNA snoR99". The record is from Rfam. Lineage: Eukaryota; Viridiplantae; Streptophyta; Magnoliopsida; Brassicales; Brassicaceae.